RNAcentral lists this long non-coding RNA (204 nucleotides) under Capsicum annuum. RNAcentral's name for it is "long non-coding RNA (CANN_LNC017789)". Lineage: Eukaryota; Viridiplantae; Streptophyta; Magnoliopsida; Solanales; Solanaceae. The record is from RNAcentral.
GCUAUUUGGUGGUGUUUUUGCUGUAUGUUCAUCCAUUAAAACAUAAAACCCUUAAAAUCUGAUUUUCAGUUGAAUUACAGUAGAAAAAAAAAAGGAACCGCUAACAUGCAAUAUGCGAUUAAUAGUUACCUGAAAUAGAGGAAGUAAAUCAUUAUCACAGAUCGUGCUAGAAUCGUGCAAAAAGAACAAAAUUUGAAGUGGAUG